UAUUGAGAAAGAUUUGCUUUCCUGCUCUUGCUGUCUCCUGGAUGUGAAUGUUGCUUGUUAGUGCAGGACCACAAUGCUGAAGUGCAAUGCUCUUCUGUCACUAACAGGGUGCCUGGGAAUGGCAUCUUCCUGCUGAGGUACUAAAACCUGACAGCAGCUUCAGGGACUGCUCAUACAUAGGGGAAAGCAGCACCUGGCCUGCAACUGGCAGCAGCACUUGAUUUCUAAAGCCAAAGCGUGACAGGAGAAGGAGCUGCACUCAGAUGGUACUUCUGAGCAAGAAGCAGCACAAUGUGGUGACUGAGUGGGAACAAGGAAAAUGGAACAGUAGAAGUAAUGGUUACACGUACAUCACAGUGUAAGGAGCUGCAGUUCCUAGGCGACUUCUGUGGCACUCUGGAAGGAGAACAGGAAAGUAUUGUACAUCCUUCAAGUAAAUUCAGCAGUUUGACCAUGACAAGAGGAAGACUAAACACUUCAGAAACUAGCAUGAAAAGAUGAUGUGUGACCAACUGAAAUACAGGCAACAAGAAGAACUGACAAGAUUAAUGCAAAGACUUAGGUUUUGUCAUCUUCCAAUUCCAACUUCUGCGAUAUUAUUAGUUUUUACUGUUCUGGAACAACCAAAUUUCCUUAGGAGACUUCAAACAGAUCUGCAGUUUCAAGCACGGAGGAGUCAAUCAGAAGCAAUCCAGAUUAAGAUUAGAAAUCCUCUGCUGCUCAGAAAAGAUACAAAGAACAGUGGUUGUUGGAAAAAGGAGUGAAGAAAAAUCCUGUUUUAAAAGAUGACCCUGCCUUGAGUGAGUGAGCAGUACUUUGGUUCAGGCAUCACAGACAAGAAGGCCUGACAGCUCAGCCAUGAUGUGCAAAAUAGAUUUUUGGACAAACAACAACACAACACAAAAACUCUUCUUACUUUCCUAUCUUGAAUGUGACUUUGGGUAUAUACAUAAAUAAGGAGGGAUUUUUCAGGCAUCUUACAAUGAUAAUGGUGACCCAAAAAGUUUCCAUUCAACUAAUAUUUAAAACCAAUGGGGGACCCCCCCUCCACAUUUCAAAACAUUUCUGGAAGCAGACACUGAAACCAAGACCUUUGUGCUCCCAGAUGAAGGUGAUAAUUACUCCACUGCACUGCCAUGCUCUUUCUUUCUCAGCCCCAUUAAUUUUUUACUCCUUACAAAGAGUCUUCAACCUUUGAAGAGAAGAAAAUAUCCCCAUGUAAAGUCUCACUGUUGAAAAACUAUCCUAGGACCGGUGGAUUUUUAAUUCCCACACUGAGAAUAAUAGUGAGCUUCAGUAGGUAGAGGAGAUCAUAACAUAAUGAUUACUCUAAGAGGCAGGCACUGACAAUAUUAUGGAAUCACAGAAUCAUUAAUGUGGAAAAAGUCCUCAGAGAUCGAGUACAACCCUUGACCAAACACUAGCAACUAAACUGGAGCACUAAGUGCCCUAUAUGUCCAGUCAUUUCUUGAACACCUCCAAGGGAUGGUGACUCCACCACCUCCCCAGGCAGUCCAUUCCAAUG
Lepidothrix coronata (blue-crowned manakin) is the source of this 1525-nucleotide long non-coding RNA. RefSeq lists it as uncharacterized. The transcript has 5 exons. NCBI's taxonomy places the organism in Eukaryota, Metazoa, Chordata, Aves, Passeriformes, Pipridae. The record is from RefSeq and is a predicted model, not a curated record.